CCUACGGGGGGCAGCAGUGGGGAAUAUUGGACAAUGGGGGCAACCCUGAUCCAGCCAUGCCGCGUGUGUGAAGAAGGCCCUCGGGUUGUAAAGCACUUUCAGUGAGGAAGAACGCCUGGUGGUUAAUACCCAUCAGGAAAGACAUCACUCACAGAAGAAGCACCGGCUAACUCCGUGCCAGCAGCCGCGGUAAUACGGAGGGUGCGAGCGUUAAUCGGAAUUACUGGGCGUAAAGCGCGCGUAGGUGGCUUGAUAAGCCGGUUGUGAAAGCCCCGGGCUCACCCUGGGAACGGCAUCCGGAACUGUCAAGCUAGAGUGCAGGAGAGGAAGGUAGAAUUCCCGGUGUAGCGGUGAAAUGCGUAGAGAUCGGGAGGAAUACCAGUGGCGAAGGCGGCCUUCUGGACUGACACUGACACUGAGGUGCGAAAGCGUGGGUAGCAAACAGGAUUAGAUACCCUUGUAGUC
This 465-nucleotide ribosomal RNA is filed under the name Vreelandella stevensii. RNAcentral describes it as "partial 16S ribosomal RNA". It matches the Rfam family "Bacterial small subunit ribosomal RNA", at positions 338 to 795 of the family's 1533-position model. The record is from RNAcentral. Lineage: Bacteria; Pseudomonadati; Pseudomonadota; Gammaproteobacteria; Oceanospirillales; Halomonadaceae.